UGCCGUGAGGACUAGAAACCUGGAAACCUACGUUUCCCAGCUACUCCAUCUCCCCACACCGCAGGCUUUCUGUUAUGUUCUGAUGAUGAACUACUGCAGGAACAUAUCAGGAAAGCCAAGAGAAUCCACAGACCCUUUGAAGGAACUGUAUCACCCCUGCAGACUCCCUGAGAUGCCAAAAACUGUGAAUCUGCUUGCUUUCUCAACUGGGAGUCUCAUGGUCUGGGCUUAACUCCCACUUAUAAGUGAAAAUACGUAAUGGUCUCCAACUCCAUCUAGGUGUCUGUGAAUGCCAUUAUUUCAUUCCUUUUUAUAGGUUCCCCAGUGAGGAUUGUCAGGCCUCUGAGCCCAAGCUAAACCAUCAUAUCCCCUGUGACCUGCACGUAUACAUCCAGAUGGCCUGAAGCAACUGAAGAUCCACAGAAGAAGUGAAAAUAGCCAGUUCCUGCCUUAACUGAUGACAUUCCACCAUUGUAAUUUGUUCCUGCCCCACCCUAACUGAUCAAUUGACUUUGUGACAAUACACCCUCCCUACCCUUGCGAUAAUGUAAUUUGUGAUAUUCCCUUACCCUUGUGAAGGUACUUUGUACUAUACACCCUCCCCACCCUUGAGAAGGUACUUUGUAAUAUUCUCCCCUGCCCUUAAGAAUGUACUUCGUAAGAUCCACCCCCUGCCCACAAAAAAUCGCUCCUAACUCCACCGCCUAUCCCAAACCUGUAAGAACUAAUGAUAAUCCCACC
RNAcentral lists this long non-coding RNA (741 nucleotides) under Pan troglodytes (chimpanzee). RNAcentral's name for it is "lincRNA". The record is from RNAcentral. Lineage: Eukaryota; Metazoa; Chordata; Mammalia; Primates; Hominidae.